GGGGAAGUCCGGUGAGAGUCCGGCGCUGACCCGCAACGGUAAGCGAAGCGUCCGCUUCGCGAGCCCGAUCACCC
This 74-nucleotide non-coding RNA is filed under the name Streptomyces caatingaensis. The record is from RNAcentral. Lineage: Bacteria; Bacillati; Actinomycetota; Actinomycetes; Kitasatosporales; Streptomycetaceae.